UUGGGAACCACUAUAACCAGAAAACUAAAACCAAAAAGACUGAACUGUCAGGGUAAAUGUAAGAGUGGCCAGAAGCAAGCUAAAGAUUGAAAAGUGAAGUAUUUGAGUCACCUUGUUGUUCAGAAGUUAUCAUGUCUGGAUUUUAAAUGCAGUUGAUUAUAGACUGGUAACACCUGAGACCAUUAAAGUAGGUGAGACACAUUCAAAUGUUUUUUGAAUGGAGAUAUCUAUAGUCUAGAUGUCUAAUUAUUAUUAUAAGUAUUUUCUAUAUA
Long non-coding RNA from Perognathus longimembris pacificus (Pacific pocket mouse), 272 nucleotides. RefSeq lists it as uncharacterized. Lineage: Eukaryota; Metazoa; Chordata; Mammalia; Rodentia; Heteromyidae. The record is from RefSeq and is a predicted model, not a curated record. The transcript has 3 exons.